Blastosporella zonata is the source of this 81-nucleotide non-coding RNA. The record is from the annotation of a GenBank genome assembly. NCBI's taxonomy places the organism in Eukaryota, Fungi, Basidiomycota, Agaricomycetes, Agaricales, Lyophyllaceae.
GUCUGUAUCGAUUAGUGGUCAAAUCAUCUCGUUGUGGUUCCCUGCUCCGAGAAGCCGCAGGCUCGAAUCCUGCUACGGACA